UUGUAAUCAGUGUAAACAACUCUCUCAUGCCUAUUUUAUGAAUGAAAUUCUAGCUCUCAGUGUAAGGGGGUUCUGCUGAAGAAGAUUUUUGUUUUUUCUUCUGUUUUGCUUUGGCUUUUAUUUCUCUGUUCUUGAGAAUUCAUUUUUCUGCUCAAAAUUCAACAGUGUUAUUAGAGCUUCUCAUGAUCUUUGAGGGCCUGUGAUUGAGAGAAAACAAGUGAGAAUCCCAUUUACAAAAGAACCUAAACACUAGAAAGUUGAGAGAGAUGGCUUCAAGUGGAUACUCUGCUCCACCUCCUCCUGUAUUUUCUGGAGAAGGUUACUCUAUUUGGUCUGUGAAGAUGAAGGCUUAUCUCAUAGCCUUUGACCUGUGGGAAGUCACUAAAACUGGAAGGCAACCAGGUCCCUUAAGGGAACAUCCCACUCUUGCUCAGUUGAAAGCACAUAGUGAGGAGUGUGCUAAAGGGUUUAAGGCUUUGUAUUGCAUACAUUCUGCUGUCUCUGAUGUCAUUUUUACAAGAAUUAUGGCUUGUGAAACUGCAAAGCAAGCUUGGGACAGACUUAACGAGGAGUUCCAUGGAAGUGAAAGCUCAAAGCAAAUGUCAGUGCUGAAUUUAAGGAGGGAAUUUGAGGUUCUAAAAAUAAAAGAAUAUGAAACUCUUAAGGAGUACACAGAUAGAUUAAUGUCUGUGGUCAAUAAAAUCAGAUUAUUGGGUGAAGAUUUACCAGAUAAAAGGGUUGUGGAGAAGGUUCUUGUAAGUCUACCUGAUAGAUUUGAGCCUAAGAUCUCAUCCUUGGAAGAUUCAAAGGAUUUGAGUAAGAUCACUUUACCUAAACUUAUAAAUUCCUUGCAAGCCAUUGAGCAAAGAAGAAUUAACAGACAAGAAGAUGCUUCUGAGGAGGCAUUUGUUGCCAAACAAAAAGGGAAGCAAGUGAUAGAGGUUAAGAAAGGUUCAAAAGAGAGAGAUAAGAAAGGGAAGCAACCUGAAAGCAGAAGUGAGGUUGUCAAAAGAGAGAGAUAAGAAAGGGAAGCAACCUGAAAGCAGAAGUGAGGUUGUCAAAAGAGAGAGAUAAGAAAGGGAAGCAACCUGAAAGCAGAAGUGAGGUUG
This 1109-nucleotide unclassified non-coding RNA is filed under the name Hevea brasiliensis (rubber tree). The record is from RNAcentral. Lineage: Eukaryota; Viridiplantae; Streptophyta; Magnoliopsida; Malpighiales; Euphorbiaceae.